The sequence is a ribosomal RNA, 511 nucleotides long. It matches the Rfam family "Bacterial large subunit ribosomal RNA", at positions 423 to 936 of the family's 2925-position model.
CACGUGAAAUUCCGUCGGAAUCUGGGAGGACCAUCUCCUAAGGCUAAAUACUCUCUAGUGACCGAUAGUGAACCAGUACCGUGAGGGAAAGGUGAAAAGCACCCCGGAAGGGGAGUGAAAUAGAACCUGAAACCGUGUGCUUACAAGUAGUCAGAGCCCGUUAAUGGGUGAUGGCGUGCCUUUUGUAGAAUGAACCGGCGAGUUACGAUUUGAUGCAAGGUUAAGCAGUAAAUGUGGAGCCGUAGCGAAAGCGAGUCUGAAUAGGGCGUUUAGUAUUUGGUCGUAGACCCGAAACCAGGUGAUCUACCCUUGGUCAGGUUGAAGUUCAGGUAACACUGAAUGGAGGACCGAACCGACUUACGUUGAAAAGUGAGCGGAUGAACUGAGGGUAGCGGAGAAAUUCCAAUCGAACCUGGAGAUAGCUGGUUCUCUCCGAAAUAGCUUUAGGGCUAGCCUCAAGUGAUGAUUAUUGGAGGUAGAGCACUGUUUGGACGAGGGGCCCCUCUCGGGU